AGGGGCUUAGGAUAAUAUAGACCAAGGACCUUCAAAGCCCUAAGUAGGAGUUAAAAUCUCCUAGCCCCUG
RNAcentral lists this transfer RNA (70 nucleotides) under Koreocobitis rotundicaudata (white nose loach). Its description in RNAcentral is "tRNA-Trp". It matches the Rfam family "tRNA". Rfam says of the family: Transfer RNA (tRNA) molecules are approximately 80 nucleotides in length. Their secondary structure includes four short double-helical elements and three loops (D, anti-codon, and T loops). Lineage: Eukaryota; Metazoa; Chordata; Actinopteri; Cypriniformes; Cobitidae. The record is from RNAcentral.